GCUCUCGUAGCUCAAUUGGCAGAGCAGGCGACUCUUAAUCGUCUGGUUACAGGUUCGAGUCCUGUCGGGAGCA
This 73-nucleotide transfer RNA is filed under the name Anaerolineales bacterium. Its description in RNAcentral is "tRNA-Lys". It matches the Rfam family "tRNA". From Rfam's summary of the family: Transfer RNA (tRNA) molecules are approximately 80 nucleotides in length. The record is from RNAcentral. Lineage: Bacteria; Bacillati; Chloroflexota; Anaerolineae; Anaerolineales. RNAcentral also lists the same sequence under 1 other name.